UACGUAGGGGGCUAGCGUUGUCCGGAUUUAUUGGGCGUAAAGAGCGUGUAGGCGGCCAGGUAGGUCUGCUGUGAAAACUCGAGGCUCAACCUCGAGACGUCGGCGGAAACCAUCUGGCUAGAGUCCGGAAGAGGAGAGUGGAAUUCCUGGUGUAGCGGUGAAAUGCGCAGAUAUCAGGAAGAACACCGAUGGCGAAGGCAGCUCUCUGGGACGGUAAUGACGCUGAGACGCGAAAGCGUGGGGAGCGAACAGG
This 253-nucleotide ribosomal RNA is filed under the name uncultured bacterium. RNAcentral describes it as "partial 16S ribosomal RNA". It matches the Rfam family "Bacterial small subunit ribosomal RNA", at positions 524 to 776 of the family's 1533-position model. The record is from RNAcentral.